Molecule: ribosomal RNA, 1180 nt
Filed under: Salmonella enterica subsp. enterica serovar Javiana
Lineage: Bacteria; Pseudomonadati; Pseudomonadota; Gammaproteobacteria; Enterobacterales; Enterobacteriaceae
Description: partial 23S ribosomal RNA
Rfam family: Bacterial large subunit ribosomal RNA
Source: RNAcentral
AUAAGCGCCGGUAAGGUGAUAUGAACCGUUAUAACCGGCGAUUUCCGAAUGGGGAAACCCAGUGUGACUCGUCACACUAUCAUUAACUGAAUCCAUAGGUUAAUGAGGCGAACCGGGGGAACUGAAACAUCUAAGUACCCCGAGGAAAAGAAAUCAACCGAGAUUCCCCCAGUAGCGGCGAGCGAACGGGGAGGAGCCCAGAGCCUGAAUCAGCAUGUGUGUUAGUGGAAGCGUCUGGAAAGGCGCGCGAUACAGGGUGACAGCCCCGUACACAAAAGCGCAUGUGCUGUGAGCUCGAUGAGUAGGGCGGGACACGUGGUAUCCUGUCUGAAUAUGGGGGGACCAUCCUCCAAGGCUAAAUACUCCUGACUGACCGAUAGUGAACCAGUACCGUGAGGGAAAGGCGAAAAGAACCCCGGCGAGGGGAGUGAAAAAGAACCUGAAACCGUGUACGUACAAGCAGUGGGAGCCCCACCACUAAGCCAGUGGUGAACUCCACAUACGCAUCCUUUGCUGAGGAUACGGUUAACGGAGCGAAAGCGACGUUCAACCGCAAAAGAAGCAGAGGGGGCUUAGUGGUGGGGUGACUGCGUACCUUUUGUAUAAUGGGUCAGCGACUUAUAUUCUGUAGCAAGGUUAACCGAAUAGGGGAGCCGGAGGGAAACCGAGUCUUAACCGGGCGUUAAGUUGCAGGGUAUAGACCCGAAACCCGGUGAUCUAGCCAUGGGCAGGUUGAAGGUUGGGUAACACUAACUGGAGGACCGAACCGACUAAUGUUGAAAAAUUAGCGGAUGACCUGUGGCUGGGGGUGAAAGGCCAAUCAAACCGGGAGAUAGCUGGUUCUCCCCGAAAGCUAUUUAGGUAGCGCCUCGUGAAUUCAUCUCCGGGGGUAGAGCACUGUUUCGGCUAGGGGGCCAUCCCGGCUUACCAACCCGAUGCAAACUGCGAAUACCGGAGAAUGUUAUCACGGGAGACACACGGCGGGUGCUAACGUCCGUCGUGAAGAGGGAAACAACCCAGACCGCCAGCUAAGGUCCCAAAGUCAUGGUUAAGUGGGAAACGAUGUGGGAAGGCCCAGACAGCCAGGAUGUUGGCUUAGAAGCAGCCAUCAUUUAAAGAAAGCGUAAUAGCUCACUGGUCGAGUCGGCCUGCGCGGAAGAUGUAACGGGGCUAAACCAUG